Molecule: ribosomal RNA, 440 nt
Filed under: uncultured bacterium
Lineage: Bacteria
Description: partial 16S ribosomal RNA
Rfam family: Bacterial small subunit ribosomal RNA
Source: RNAcentral
CCUACGGGUGGCAGCAGUGGGGAAUAUUGCACAAUGGGGGAAACCCUUAUGCAGCGACGCCGCGUGAGUGAAGAAGUAAUUCGUUAUGUAAACCUCUGUCAGCAGGGACGAAAAUGACGGUACCUACGGAAGAAGCCACGGCUAACUACGUGCCAGCAGCCGCGGUAAUACGUAGGGGGCAAGCGUUAUCCGGAUUUACUGGGUGUAAAGGGAGCGUAGACGGGAGGGCAAGUCUGGAGUGAAAGUCAGGGGCUCAACCCACGGACUGCUCUUGAAACUGUACGGCUUGAGUGCAGUAGAGGUAAGCGGAAUUCCUAGUGUAGCGGUGAAAUGCGUAGAUAUUAGGAGGAACACCAGUGGCGAAGGCGGCUUACUGGACUGUAACUGACGUUGAGGCUCGAAAGCGUGGGGAGCAAACAGGAUUAGAUACCCCUGUAGUC